RNAcentral lists this ribosomal RNA (519 nucleotides) under Triticum aestivum (bread wheat). RNAcentral's name for it is "partial small subunit ribosomal RNA". Lineage: Eukaryota; Viridiplantae; Streptophyta; Magnoliopsida; Poales; Poaceae. The record is from RNAcentral.
AUGGUGGUUGACCAGGUGGUUCUAUCUCCGAUGCCAUGGUUGAUUGUGGUCAUCAAGUCUACUCCGUGGCCACCCCCUGCAGCUUUGGGAAAGGCUCAUCCGCAUGCAUGCAGCACGCACAAGCCCAUCUUUGCAUUCAUCACACACGCACACAUUUCAGGUUCGGCUACUUGCCCUCUAUUUCCCAGCCAUGCUCGCGCACGUCUACUCGCCUCUGUCCACGAACCAGGCAGUCAGCUCCAAACACUUGAGGACCCAUCGAUCUACGCCAAUAAUCUUGGACGAUGUGGCCCUCCAUUGAGCAUUCCAUGCACAAACAAUUCGAGUAGUCCAACACCAGUUGAUGGCAACCAAGAACACGAAACGGUGUGGCUGUACUACUCGGUGAUUGCUGGAACCGUCUUCGGUUUCUGGGUUUGGUUUGGAGCAUUGUUCUUCUACAAGUUCUGGCGGUUUGCAUUCUUCAAUCGCAUCGAUGCCAUGCAGCGGAUUGUUGUGCACAAGAUGAAGCAUACCUGA